Molecule: non-coding RNA, 255 nt
Filed under: [Clostridium] cellulosi
Lineage: Bacteria; Bacillati; Bacillota; Clostridia; Eubacteriales; Oscillospiraceae
Description: Clostridium cellulosi T-box sequence
Rfam family: T-box leader
About the family: Uncharged tRNA acts as the effector for transcription antitermination of genes in the T-box leader family. T-boxes are found upstream of many aminoacyl-tRNA synthetase genes and some amino acid biosynthetic genes usually in Gram-positive bacteria.
Source: RNAcentral
UUAAAGGCUAUGAUAGGGAGAAAAACACUGCGUAAAUCACGCUACAGAGAGCUGUUGUCCGCUGAAAGACAGCGCGUUGAUGCGGUUGUUAACUCGCCCUUGAGCUGUUAUGCUGAAAGCGGUAGUUGCCGUGAUUAGGUAUUGCCGGGUUUCUCGCCGUUACCAUGAGAGGGCAUUAAUUUUGAUGCUGCUAAGGUGGGUUAGUUAUAACCAAUUAGAGUGGUACCGCGGAAGUGUUAAGCUUUCGUCUCUUGU